This 498-nucleotide ribosomal RNA is filed under the name uncultured bacterium. RNAcentral's name for it is "partial 16S ribosomal RNA". It matches the Rfam family "Bacterial small subunit ribosomal RNA", at positions 29 to 523 of the family's 1533-position model. The record is from RNAcentral.
AUUGAACGCUGGCGGCAUGCCUUACACAUGCAAGUCGAACGGUAACGCGGGGCAACCUGGCGACGAGUGGCGAACGGGUGAGUAACGCAUCGGAACGUGCCCAGUAGUGGGGGAUAGCCCGGCGAAAGCCGGAUUAAUACCGCAUACGGCCUACGGGUGAAAGGGGGGGAUCGCAAGACCUCUCGCUAUUGGAGCGGCCGAUGUCAGAUUAGGUAGUUGGUGGGGUAAAGGCCUACCAAGCCGACGAUCUGUAGCUGGUCUGAGAGGACGACCAGCCAGACUGGGACUGAGACACGGCCCAGACUCCUACGGGAGGCAGCAGUGGGGAAUUUUGGACAAUGGGCGAAAGCCUGAUCCAGCCAUGCCGCGUGCGGGAAGAAGGCCUUCGGGUUGUGAACCGCUUUUGUCAGGGAAGAAAUCUUCUGGGUUAAUACCUCGGGAGGAUGACGGUACCUGAAGAAUAAGCACCGGCUAACUACGUGCCAGCCGCCGCGGUAA